CCGGCCCGCCUCUCCGUGUGCGCGAAGCUCAGGGACGCCGGGGGUCCUGUCUGGAGGCUCAGACUCCCCGGCGUUUCGCGCUGCUCAGUGUUAGCGACCUCUGCCCGGGGCCCGAGAGCCGCUUGGGCCAAGGCGCCCGGGGCCGGCCAGUGAAGACGACCCUGGUGUGGGCAAGGAGCAGGAGCGCUGGACCGCCGGAGGGAUCAGCGUCGCCCGAGGAAUGGCCUGGCGGACAUGUGGCUGGGGGUCACCUGGAAACUCAAGAGAAGUGAAAUAAAUUUUGAGGCAAUUGUCUGCUGUACACCAUCUGAUUCCAGAGAAUUUGCUACAAAUCUAUGAACAAGUAAACUUCCAGAGAUGAAAUGCCCAGUAGGAGACAUGGACCUCUAUAAAGGAUUGGACAUCCUGGAGCCAUCACGGCUGCUCUCUGGAAAGAGUCACAAUGUCAUCAGCAUAGAAAGGCUCUGAGAAGUCCUACAGCAAAAGAAGAAGAAAACUUAGUUUACUCAUAUUUCCUAAAUGUAUUUGACUAUAGAACCCUUCUCUCAACAUGAUACUUAUUAAUAUCCAC
Molecule: long non-coding RNA, 571 nt
Filed under: Equus asinus (donkey)
Lineage: Eukaryota; Metazoa; Chordata; Mammalia; Perissodactyla; Equidae
Description: lncRNA (ENSEASG00005026530.1)
Source: RNAcentral